CUGGAUCACAGUAGGGAAAGAAGCCACUUCUUGGGGAUAGAACCCAGGGAGGAAUAAAGAAACCCACUUUUCUACAGUCACAUAGAAAGUCAUAAAUAGCAGCAAAAUUGAAUUUCUAAGGCACCAGGAGAAUGAGGAGAAGCUUGUGGCUGACUUGAAUCCCUCAGAUGAUUUUGUUUUAUGAAGGAUGGGAUGAAAAUGUCAGAGUACACGGAAAACAUCUUAGUUCUUCCCAUCUCCAGUGGGAUCAUUCAAAUCCUGCCCCAGGUCCUGUUGAGCUAGUGCUGAUGCCCCAGGAAGAGGAGCAAAGAGGAAGCCUGAGAAAAAAAUGUGCAUCGCAUCGGCCAACAAUCCAUUUGGACUUUUUCUCUAUCUGUUUGCUUGUUUAUUUUUUUCCUAAGGGGCCAUUCCUUCAUCUGCUUCUCAGAAUUCUACACCAUCUCCUAAAACACAAAAAGGACACAGUUUGCCAGGCUUAGGUGACUUGGAGAAGGAUGAUGGAAAUCAUUCAGAUCAUUCCCUUGGCAAUGUAGCCAGCCCCAUUCUGGACUUCCCUGCCACGACAUCCUCAGUCUCUCACACAUAAGGUAAUCCAGGUUGAAUAUUUCUUCAGUCAUGUUUCUGGAGUCUGAAAGAAAACAAAGUCUCACAGUGUUCAAGAAUUCAGCUACUGAGACUGAAGCCAAAUAGAUUCUUGGAGAAAUGUGAAGAAAGAAGCAACAUGCUAUCAGCCUUGGGAAACAAAGAAAUACAAGAUUGCUCGAAAUCUUCAAUCUCUGAUAUUGUAUUAAUGAAGGCUCAUUCCCAAGUGCCGGAAAAGCCUUCCACGAUUCAAGAUGAAUUGCAAGAAUGUGUUGUUUGGGGCAAUUAUGAAGACAGAGAGGAAAUGUUAUGCAAACUCCUAGGUUUCAGCUGUUUCCAAGGCCAGGCCUGACUAGCCACAGAAAGCAAG
Molecule: long non-coding RNA, 952 nt
Filed under: Sarcophilus harrisii (Tasmanian devil)
Lineage: Eukaryota; Metazoa; Chordata; Mammalia; Dasyuromorphia; Dasyuridae
Description: lncRNA (ENSSHAG00000030143.1)
Source: RNAcentral